This 290-nucleotide unclassified non-coding RNA is filed under the name Hevea brasiliensis (rubber tree). The record is from RNAcentral. Lineage: Eukaryota; Viridiplantae; Streptophyta; Magnoliopsida; Malpighiales; Euphorbiaceae.
UACCAUUAUAGAUGCCUGGAUUCAAGAACAUGAGUUGAGAAGGCUCAACGGUGAGGUGGAGACCAAGCAGGAUUUCAUAGAUGUUUUGCUAUCUGCAGUUCAGGAUGAUUCCCAAUUCGGCAAUUCUCGUGAAACAGUUAUCAAAGCAACAAUAAUGACUCUUAUCGUCGGUGGGUCCGAUACAACAUCUAUCACCAUGAUAUGGAUGUUGGCCAAUUUGUUGAACAACAGGCGUGAAUUGCAGCUUGCCCAAGAGGAGAUAGAUCAGAAAGUUGGAAGGGACAGACCCG